CACUAGCUGAAUAGACGGCAUAGGCGGCGGGGCAAGCGGGAUACCCGCUCCCACAGUGUGGAAGAUUUCUGCGCAAACGAACCUUUCAUGGCUUUGUCCCUGCCGUUAAAAAGUUUUAGCAACUGUUUCCCACUCUAGAUCUUAGGAAAGUUGACAAUAUUGAAUAGUUAAGCGACAAGGUUAUAUUUCCAUAUCUACAUCAUCAUCAUCAUGUAUGUACACACACUUGGAAAUCAAAUCAUAUUGAACUAGUUAUUCAAUUUCACAGAAAACAAAAGGCGAUAAUUUUUUUUUUUUUGAGGCUUUGAAUUAUUCUAAGGCUCCCACUGUGUUAAUUGACUAUGUAUGACUGUGAGGGUUUCUACGGAUUUCUUAAUUAUAUCAUCAUCGAUUUAACAAUCAAUAUGUAUAUAUUGACGUAUCUUGUCC
Molecule: small RNA, 429 nt
Filed under: Histoplasma capsulatum
Lineage: Eukaryota; Fungi; Ascomycota; Eurotiomycetes; Onygenales; Ajellomycetaceae
Also listed under: 1 other name
Description: hypothetical RNA
Source: RNAcentral